GAUGAACGCUGACAGAAUGCUUAACACAUGCAAGUCUUUGGCGAAUCUGUGCUUUCCCAGGCUAGCCAAGGCGGACGGGUGGGUAACGCGUAAAGUACUUGCCCUGCAGACAGGGAUAACGGACGGAAACGACUGAUAACACCUGAUACAGUUGCCGGCACGCAUGUGCCUGGCAAUGAAAAGAGAUGCUGCAGGAGAGCUUUGCGUCCUAUUAGCUUGUUGGUGAGGUGACGGCUCACCAAGGCGAUGAUAGUUAGCCGGCCUGAGGGGGUGAACGGCCACAAGGCGACUGAGAUACGGACCUUACUCCUACGGGAGGCAGCAGUGGGGAAUGUUGGACGAUGGGAGCAACGAUGAUGCAGCGAUUCGGUGUGCACGAAGAAGGUUUUCGGAUUGUAAAGUGCUUUCAGCAAGGAAGCAGAAAGUGACGGUACCUGGAGAAGAAGCGACGGCUAAAUACGUG
This 463-nucleotide ribosomal RNA is filed under the name uncultured bacterium. RNAcentral's name for it is "partial 16S ribosomal RNA". It matches the Rfam family "Bacterial small subunit ribosomal RNA", at positions 28 to 507 of the family's 1533-position model. The record is from RNAcentral.